GAUGAACGCUAGCUACAGGCUUAACACAUGCAAGUCGAGGGGCAGCAUGGUCUUAGCUUGCUAAGGCCGAUGGCGACCGGCGCACGGGUGAGUAACACGUAUCCAACCUGCCGUCUACUCUUGGACAGCCUUCUGAAAGGAAGAUUAAUACAAGAUGGCAUCAUGAGUCCACAUGUUCACAUGAUUAAAGGUAUUCCGGUAGACGAUGGGGAUGCGUUCCAUUAGAUAGUAGGCGGGGUAACGGCCCACCUAGUCUUCGAUGGAUAGGGGUUCUGAGAGGAAGGUCCCCCACAUUGGAACUGAGACACGGUCCAAACUCCUACGGGAGGCAGCAGUGAGGAAUAUUGGUCAAUGGGCGAGAGCCUAAACCAGCCAAGUAGCGUGAAGGAUGACUGCCCUAUGGGUUGUAAACUUCUUUUAUAAAGGAAUAAAGUCGGGUAUGGAUACCCGUUUGCAUGUACUUUAUGAAUAAGGAUCGGCUAACUCCGUGCCAGCAGCCGCGGUAAUACGGGGGAUCCGAGCGUUAUCCGGAUUUAUUGGGUUUAAAGGGAGCGUAGAUGGAUGUUUAAGUCAGUUGUGAAAGUUUGCGGCUCAACCGUAAAAUUGCAGUUGAUACUGGAUAUCUUGAGUGCAGUUGAGGCAGGCGGAAUUCGUGGUGUAGCGGUGAAAUGCUUAGAUAUCACGAAGAACUCCGAUUGCGAAGGCAGCCUGCUAAGCUGCAACUGACAUUGAGGCUCGAAAGUGUGGGUAUCAAACAGGAUUAGAUACCCUGGUAGUCCACACGGUAAACGAUGAAUACUCGCUGUUUGCGAUAUACAGCAAGCGGCCAAGCGAAAGCGUUAAGUAUUCCACCUGGGGAGUACGCCGGCAACGGUGAAACUCAAAGGAAUUGACGGGGGCCCGCACAAGCGGAGGAACAUGUGGUUUAAUUCGAUGAUACGCGAGGAACCUUACCCGGGCUUAAAUUGCAGAUGAAUUACGGUGAAAGCCGUAAGCCGCAAGGCAUCUGUGAAGGUGCUGCAUGGUUGUCGUCAGCUCGUGCCGUGAGGUGUCGGCUUAAGUGCCAUAACGAGCGCAACCCUUGUUGUCAGUUACUAACAGGUUCCGCUGAGGACUCUGACAAGACUGCCAUCGUAAGAUGUGAGGAAGGUGGGGAUGACGUCAAAUCAGCACGGCCCUUACGUCCGGGGCUACACACGUGUUACAAUGGGGGGUACAGAGGGCCGCUACCACGCGAGUGGAUGCCAAUCCCAAAAACCUCUCUCAGUUCGGACUGGAGUCUGCAACCCGACUCCACGAAGCUGGAUUCGCUAGUAAUCGCGCAUCAGCCACGGCGCGGUGAAUACGUUCCCGGGCCU
This 1358-nucleotide ribosomal RNA is filed under the name uncultured bacterium. Its description in RNAcentral is "bacterial SSU rRNA". It matches the Rfam family "Bacterial small subunit ribosomal RNA", at positions 28 to 1381 of the family's 1533-position model. The record is from RNAcentral.